Molecule: ribosomal RNA, 301 nt
Filed under: uncultured bacterium
Lineage: Bacteria
Description: partial 16S ribosomal RNA
Rfam family: Bacterial small subunit ribosomal RNA
Source: RNAcentral
CAGCCGCCACGGUAAUACGUAGGUGGCAAGCGUUGUCCGGAAUUAUUGGGCGUAAAGGGCUCGCAGGCGGUUUCUUAAGUCUGAUGUGAAAAUGCAGGGCUCAACUCUGUAUUGCGUUGGAAACUGUAUGCCUUGAGUGCAGGAGAGGAAAGCGGAAUUUCCAGUGUAGCGGUGAAAUGCGUAGAUAUUGGGAGGAACACCAGUGGCGAAGGCGGCUUUCUGGACUGCAACUGACGCUGAGGCUCGAAAGCCAGGGGAGCGAACGGGAUUAGAUACCCCCGUAGUCCCUGUCUCUUAUACA